Molecule: ribosomal RNA, 3459 nt
Filed under: Candidatus Berkelbacteria bacterium CG_4_10_14_0_2_um_filter_35_9_33_12
Lineage: Bacteria; Candidatus Berkelbacteria
Also listed under: 2 other names
Description: 23S ribosomal RNA
Rfam family: Bacterial large subunit ribosomal RNA
Source: RNAcentral
CAAGAAGAGCAUAUGGAGGAUGCCUUGGUAGAAGAUGCCGAUGAAGGACGUAGCAGACUGCGAUAAGCUUCGGGGAGUCGUCAAGCAGACUUUGAUCCGGAGAUGUCCGAAUGGAGAAAUCUAAUCGUGCAAACCACGAUUGUCUGUGCUUUGCACAGAAAUCCAAAAUUCGAAAUCCUAAAUCCUAAACAAAUUCAAAAUUCAAAAUAUUAAAUUUUAAACUAAAUAUGUUUAGAUAUUAUAAUUUUGAAAAUUAGAUAUUGUUUCGAAUUUAGUGCUUAGAGUUUAGAAUUUCUGCGCAGAGCGCAGUCGGGUACCUGCUGAACUGAAACAUCUUAGUAAGCAGAGGAAAAGAAAACAACAUCCCCCUUUGGGGGAAGUGUGUCUUUGGUUUUUCUUAAUGCAAAAUAAUAAAUUUAAUAUUUUUGAAUUUUGAUUUUUGCAUUUUGAUUUUGUGCCAAAGGUGCAUUGUGAUUCCCAGAGUAGUGGCGAGCGAAAUGGGAAAAGUUCUGAUUGUGAGAAAUCUAAUUUAUUAGUUGAAUGAAUCUGGAAAGGACGACCAUAGAGGGUGAUAGUCCCGUAAACAAAAAUAUUUUAGUUUUUCAAACAAUUGUUCUAAAUUGAUUUAUCAUUUUAGGGCUGAGUACUGUCGGACACGUGAAACCUGGCAGGAAUAAACGAGGAUCAUCUCGUAAGACUAAAUACAUCUUCUAACCGAUAGUGAACUAGUACCGUGAGGGAAAGGUGAAAAGUACCCCGCAACGGGGAGUGAAAUAGAACCUGAAACCAUAUGCUUACAAGGAGAUAGAGCCGUGCACAGCACGGAAAUUCGAAGCACGAAUAUCAAAAUUCUAAACAAAAUCAAAAUUCUAAAUUCAAAAUCUUAAACUGUUUUGAAAAUUAGGAUUUAUAAUUUGUUUAGGAUUUAGUAUUUCGGAUUUCGGAUUUGCCUGUUGUGCAGGGUGAUAUCGUGCCUUUUGAAGAAUGAGCCAACGAGUUGUCGAUUAUUGCAAGCUUAACCCCGCAAACGGGGGUAGGCGUAGCGAAAGCGAGUACUAACUGUGCGACAUACAAGUAAUAAUUGGCAGACCCGAAACCGGGUGAUCUACCCAUGAGCAGGAUGAAUCCACUGUAAAAGGUGUGAGGAGGUCCGAACCUACCAGCGCUGUAAAGCUGGGGGAUGACUUGUGGGUAGGGGUAAAAUGCCAAUCGAACCCGGAGAUAGCUGGUUCUCCUCGAAAUAUAUUUAGGUAUAGCGCCCAUCGAAAGCUGGCGGGUAGAGCACUGGUUUGCGUUCGGCGGCGAAAGCUGUCGGCACGAGUCAAACUCCGAAUAGUCAGUGUUAUUUGAUGAGGCAGUCAGUCCGUGAGGGCUAAGCUUCAUGUGACGAGAGGGAAACAACCCAGAUCGCCAUCUAAGGUCCCUAAAUCUAGCUAAGUGGGAAAGGAAGUUAAUUUCCCCAGACAACCAGGAGGUUGGCUUAGAAGCAGCCAUCCUUUAAAGAGUGCGUAACAGCUCACUGGUCGAUUGGAAAUUAGCGCCGAAAAUUUAACGGGGCUAAGCUAGAUACCGAAGAUGCGAAUACCCUGCUUUGCACGGAAAUCCGAAAUUCGAAAUCUUAAAUCCUAAACAAAUUAUAAAUUCAAAAUCUUAAAAUUCUAAACAAAUAAAUUGUUUUGAAAAUUACUAUUUUGAGAAUUUGAUAUUGUUUUGAAUUUAGUGCUUAGAAUUUAGAAUUUCCCUGCAGAGCAGGGUGUGGUAGAGGAGCGUCCCAACGACGUUGAAGCGGAAACGUGAGUAACCGUGGAGUAGAUUGGGAGUGAGAAUGUUGGCAUGAGUAACGAAUUAGUCAGAUGAGAAUUCUGACCACCAAAUAUCUAAGGUUUCCCCCGCAACGAUCAUCGACGGGGGGUUAGUCGGGAGCUAAGGCGUAUAAAGCGUCGAUGCACAACAGGUUGAUAUUCCUGUACCGAUCUAAAUUUGAUUUGUAGUGACGCAUUGUCAAGCUUGGUAGCAGUUUUGGAUAUAUUGCUAUUAGGGGAGAUGGUGACAAGAAAAACUUCAAAUCGUUAAGUUUAGAUUGUCCGUACCGUAAACCAACUCAGGUAGAUGGGGCGAGAAGCCCAAGGUGAUCGAAAGAACCCUUCCUAAGGAACUCGGCAAAAAAGCGAUCGUAACUUAGGGAUAAGGUCUGCCCCGUUUCGACGGGGCCGCAGCGAAAGUUUUUCAGGCGACUGUUUAUCAAAAACUUAGGUCCGUGCAUAAUGCUUAGUGCUGAAGUAUACGGGCUGAUGCCUGCCCAGUGCCGGUAGGUUACGGAGAGGAGUGAUAUUUGACGCAAGUCAGAUUGAGCUUCGAACUUAAGCCCCGGUAAACGGCAGCGGUAACUAUAACCGUUCUAUGGUAGCGAAAUUCCUUGUCGGGUAAGUUCCGACCCGCACGAAUGGCAUAACGGUCUGAAAACUGUCUCGGGAAGGGGUUCGGUGAAAUUACACUACCGGUAAAGAUGCCGGUUACCCGCAGCAAGACGGAAAGACCCCGUGGAGCUUUACUAUAACCUGGUAUUGUUUUGUUUUAUUUUCUGCUGAGGUUAGGUGGGAGGGACGUGCCUCGCACGGAAUUUCUAAUUUCUAAUUUCUAAUUUCUAAACAAAUUCUAAUUUUCAAAACCCCAAUGUCUAAAACAUUGUGUGUUUGAAUUUAGAUAUUAUUUAGGAUUUAGGAUUUAGGAUUUAGGAUUUCCUUGCGGGGCAUGCCCCGCAAGGUGAAAGACCACCCUUAAAAUAAUAUGAGACUAACUUCUAAAAAUUAGAGGAACAGUGCUUGGUUGGUAGUUUGACUGGGGCGGUCGACUCCAAAAGAGUAACGGAGUUGUCCAAAGGUUGGCUAGCGUCGGAUGGAAAUCGACGCGAUAGUGCAAAGGCAAAAGCCAGCUUAACUGCAAGACUUACAAGUCGCGCAGAUAGGAAACUAGGGCUUAGUGAUCCUCUGCUUAUGUAUGACAGUGGCAGAGCUCAACGAAUAAAAGCUACCCCGGGGAUAACAGGCUGAUCGGACCCAACAGUUCAUAUCGACGGUCCGGUUUGGCACCUCGAUGUCGGCUCAUCGCAACCUGGGGCUGUAGUAGGUCCCAAGGGUUGGGCUGUUCGCCCAUUAAAGCGGUACGCGAGCUGGGUUCAGAACGUCGCGAGACAGUUCGGUCCUAAUCUGCUGUGGGCGUUGAAACUUGAGGGAAAUUCUUCCUAGUACGAGAGGACCGGAAGGAACAAGCCUCUAGUGUACCAGUUGUCCUGCCAAGGGCAUCGCUGGGUAGCUAUGCUUGUUUAGAUAACCGCUGAAAGCAUCUAAGCGGGAAGCUAUACCCAAGAUUAGGUUUCGUUAUGAGAUUCCCCGUAGACUACGGGGUUGAUAGGCUACUGGUGUAAGUUCUGCAAAGAAUUCAGCCUGGUAGUACUAAUAU